Molecule: ribosomal RNA, 548 nt
Filed under: uncultured bacterium
Lineage: Bacteria
Description: bacterial SSU rRNA
Rfam family: Bacterial small subunit ribosomal RNA
Source: RNAcentral
UGGGGAAUUUUGGACAAUGGGCGCAAGCCUGAUCCAGCCAUGCCGCGUGCAGGAUGAAGGCCUUCGGGUUGUAAACUGCUUUUGUACGGAACGAAACGGCCUUUUCUAAUAAAGAGGGCUAAUGACGGUACCGUAAGAAUAAGCACCGGCUAACUACGUGCCAGCAGCCGCGGUAAUACGUAGGGUGCAAGCGUUAAUCGGAAUUACUGGGCGUAAAGCGUGCGCAGGCGGUUAUGUAAGACAGAUGUGAAAUCCCCGGGCUUAACCUGGGAACUGCAUUUGUGACUGCAUAGCUAGAGUACGGUAGAGGGGGAUGGAAUUCCGCGUGUAGCAGUGAAAUGCGUAGAUAUGCGGAGGAACACCGAUGGCGAAGGCAAUCCCCUGGACCUGUACUGACGCUCAUGCACGAAAGCGUGGGGAGCAAACAGGAUUAGAUACCCUGGUAGUCCACGCCCUAAACGAUGUCAACUGGUUGUUGGGUCUUCACUGACUCAGUAACGAAGCUAACGCGUGAAGUUGACCGCCUGGGGAGUACGGCCGCAAGGUUA